UACGUAGGGUGCGAGCGUUAAUCGGAAUUACUGGGCGUAAAGCGUGCGCAGGCGGUUUUGCAAGCCGGAUGUGAAAUCCCCGGGCUUAACCUGGGAACUGCAUUUGUGACUGCACGGCUAGAGUGUGUCAGAGGGGGGUAGAAUUCCACGUGUAGCAGUGAAAUGCGUAGAUAUGUGGAGGAAUACCGAUGGCGAAGGCAGCCCCCUGGGAUAACACUGACGCUCAUGCACGAAAGCGUGGGGAGCAAACAGG
This 253-nucleotide ribosomal RNA is filed under the name uncultured bacterium. Its description in RNAcentral is "partial 16S ribosomal RNA". It matches the Rfam family "Bacterial small subunit ribosomal RNA", at positions 524 to 776 of the family's 1533-position model. The record is from RNAcentral.